Molecule: long non-coding RNA, 17839 nt
Filed under: Ananas comosus (pineapple)
Lineage: Eukaryota; Viridiplantae; Streptophyta; Magnoliopsida; Poales; Bromeliaceae
Description: long non-coding RNA (ACOM_LNC008296)
Source: RNAcentral
UUUUAUUACUCAUGCCAUAGUACAUAUCAGAGACAGACUCGCACAUGGACACCGACUAUCCCUAGUGCAAGUGGCAAAAGAGCUUGGUAGUUGGUAUCCGAGACUCAAGUUCGAAUUCUAAUUGAUUUAUAUUUUUAGUUAAGUUUAUUUCUAAAUGAAAUAAACGGUAAACGAAGCAGAUAGCAUACUACCUUUCUCUCUCUCGAAAAAAAAAAAAAAAAAAAAAAAAAAAAAGAAGACUGGCACAUGGACAUGAUUUUAAUAUUUUAUAUUUAACACGUAAACCUGUAGAUUCAUGGGAGCAAGUGGGGCUGAUGUUGGUAACUUCGUUCAACUGCGCCUAUGUGUUGAGCUUCUCCAACCUGAUGCUGGUUCCUCUGGGCUGGGCCUGGGGCCUCGCCUGCCUCGUCGUCAUCGGCGUCUACGCCUUCUACGGCAACUGGCUCCUUGCCGGCCUCCACUUCGUCGACGGCCAACGAUUCAUCCGCUACCGAGAUCUCAUGGGAUACGUCUUCGGUCAGUAUACAAAUAAAUUAAUCAGCGUAAAUAAAUAAACAUUCUUUUCGCUCUCGCUUCUCCUCUUACUUUUGAUCUUGCACUAACCACAAGGAUAUAACAUCACUAACAAGUCAAUCACCGAACAAUAAAUUUUGAUUCAAAGUUUAAUUCAUAUUUGCAAUUUAAAUUUAUUUUGAAAAAAUAAACACAAUACUUUUUUUUUCCUAAAGUAGAAAAAAAAGAAACUGGUGGAUGGACAAUAAUGUCAUUGGCAUUUAUAACGUGAUAAUUAUAAAAAUCAUCUCGAAGCUCGCGAGAGUCACAUGCCCUUUUUUUAAAUUUUUUUUUAGUGACUAUAAUCCAAACAAAUGAGCAAGUCCAAGUACAUCAAAAAUUAAUACUAUGAAAAUACGAAUUAAUUAGAAUUCGAAUUUAAAAUUUCAGACGUCAAUCAUCAAAUUUUUAAAAUUAAUAAAAUAUUAUUUUUCUAAUUAUAAAACCAUACCGAUAAUAUUAUAUUUCUUAUUAUUUUUUUAUGGUAUUUUUCUAUUGUACGAAAAACCUACUUUGUUUAAAUUAUCUUACACGUCUACAUUAGUGAACAGAGAAGAUGACUAGCAUAUUUGGAAAUUGGCGACCCUUUCGCAUAGGACAAAAUUGGGAAAAAAAAAAAAUAGAGAGAAAGAAAUAGAGACCAAGAAAAAAAGGGAGAGAUUUUUGGUUAAACAAAGAAUAAAAGUUAAAGCAAUUAUUGAACUUUGACUUGUAAGAACGUAAGAUGUAGUAUGUGAAGCCAACGUUGGAUACUUGUUUUCUCACCUUACUUUGGAAUUAUUAUACCGGAAGUUAGCGUCUUUCUAAACUGAAUCAAAGUACAAUAUGGUUGAGCAACCCUUAAGUAUAGUAUAGCAUCCGUUUCGUUUUAUUUUUUAAAAAAUAAAUUUAGGUAAAAAUAUGAAUCAACUAGAAUUCAAACUUAGAACCUCAAAUAUCAAUCAUCAAUCUCUUCGUCACUUACGUUAGGGACAGUCGGCAUUAUAAUAUUCCAAUUGAAAGCCAACUGCGACCGUUAUAGUAGCAUAUUAUUCACUUCAUUUUUUUUUCAGAAAUAAAAUUACUUUAAAAUAUCAAGCAAUUGUGCUUUAAACUUAAGAUCAUCAAUUCUUUUGCCAUUCGUGCUAAAAACUGUCUGUAAAGCCAACGUAUUAUUAGUAGAUAUAUAUUAUGUGGAUUUAUUAAGAUGUACUUAUUCUUAUUGGUAUUGAUCAUAGUACAUACUGUAUCAAAAAACUUAGUUAAAGAACAAAGAAACACUGCAUUAUUUGUUCAACGUCUAGCAAACGGAUAACUAAGGAUGUGGUUACGAUUUCUUUUUGCUUUUUUUUUUUUCCGUAGCUAACAGAUCCAUCUCUUGUUGUCUACUUAAGAAAAAAAUUAUGAUUUUUCAAAAUAGUUAAUGAUUUAUUAUAUAAUUCAAAAUGUUUUCUUUUAUUGAUUUUGUAGGGAGGAAAAUGUAUUAUCUCACAUGGUUCCUGCAAUUCAUGACCCUACUUCUUGGAAAUAUGGGUUUUAUUCUUCUAGGAGGAAAAGCAUUGAAGGUACUUCAAUUUCUUACACAAAAGUUAGUUAGAAAGAGACCACUAGUUUAUUUAUUCUUCAAAUUUUACAUAUUUAAUUCUAACACAAGGUUCAGGAAGUAAAAUGCUAUUGGAUUUAGAAUUGAGGACUUUAAAUACGACAAGAUUUAAUUUUUGCAGUUCCUUUGACAAAAUUUUCUUGUAAUCAGGAAAUCAAUUCAGAGUUCAGUGAUUCUCCGAUGAGGCUCCAGCUGUUCAUCGCGGCGACUGGCCUUGUUUACUUCAUUUUCGCAUACUUUGUGCCCACAAUGUCAGAUAUGAGAAAUUAUCUAGCGACCUCGGCGAUCCUCACGGUCAUCUAUGAUGUUGCUAUCCUAGUGAUCGUAAUCAAAGACGGUAAUCAACGCGAAUUUAGUUUUCCCGGGCUUAAAUUUGUUUGAUGAUGUAUAAUUCUUUCACGUGUCUUAAUUUCUUACUUGUGAUGUAUGUGAUCAAAUGAAGGAAAAUCAAAUAAAACGAAGGAUUACAGAAUUCACGGAAGCCAAGCAGACAAAGUUUUCAAUGCCUUCGGUGCGGUUGCCGCGAUUCUUGUCUGCAACACCUCUGGCCUGCUGCCAGAGAUACAGGUACAUAUGUUGCAGUAGAGUAGAAACCACGAAGCGGCGUUUCGAUUUCGACGACGCGAAUGUUAUAUAACUUACCGAGCACUUCUUUUGCUGCAAUCGUUUUUACUGCAGUCGACUCUUCGCAAGCCAGCAGUUGCGAAUAUGAGGAAAGCAUUGACGAUGCAAUUUACGGUCGGCCUCGCAAUUUACUACGGAGUGAGCAUAGCUGGUUACUGGGCAUACGGAGCUUCAGUUUCGGAGUAUCUUCCGAACCAGUUGAGUGGCCCUAAAUGGGCAAUUGUGCUGAUCAAUUCCACUGCUUUUCUGCAGAGCAUAGUCUCCCAACAUGUAAAGUUUCCAUUCCAAAAGCAAUUACAAAUUUAAAGAUUGAAAUUUAAUGAUAAACCAGUCACUAACAAGUUCAUAUAUUUGUUAUGAGAUCAGAUGUUCUGCGUGCCGAUUCAUGAGGCACUAGACACAAGAUAUCAGAGACUGGAAGAGGGCAUGUUCUCAAAGUAUAACCUUUUCCGCCGCUUCUGCUGCCGCGUGUUUCUUUUCGGGUUUAACUCGUUCGUGACGGCCUUGUUUCCCUUCAUGGGAGAUUUUGUGAACCUCUUUGGAUCUUUCACUCUCUUUCCACUGACAUUUGUGUUCCCUAGCAUGGUUUUUAUCAAGGUAUGAACUGCUAAUACGCGAAACCAGUUCCCCGAAAAGCGCAAAAUUUUUUCUUCUUAGUCUAAUUCUGAAAUUGCUGAUCCUCACUAAUGCAGAUUAGGGGGAAGAUUGCUCGAAGAGAGCAAAAGAUCUGGCAUUGGAUGAAUAUAAUUUUGUCCUCGCUGCUAUCCAUCGUUACCACUGCCGCUGCCGUUCGAUUGAUCAUAAAUAAUGUUAAAAUUUACCAUUUUUUCGCAGAUACAUGACGACUUCAGAUUUCAGAGAUCGAUACCUGCAGUUAGUUUGAAAUGUCAUGGCCAUGAUUCUUUUGUUUGCUUGGAGAGAAAAAAAAAAACAACCACCUUGAGAAUGCAUAUAAAUAGGUGAAGAAAAUGUAAUUAAGCUUCAAAUAUGGAGCAAAAUAAGGUGAUAAGAAGAAGUGGUCGUCAACAGUUUAUGGAUUUGCGAUAACAUACAGUUACAUUUGAACUUGUAAUGUUGUUUUUAUCGAUUCUACUUCAGAUGAAUUUCUACUUGAAACACUGGACUAAUGUGUGAUUAGUUAGAAUGGAUUUAUUUACAUUCAAAAGCUAUAAAAAGUACUUCAGGAAAAUUGUGCAGAGUAAGAAUGAGAAAUGAAUUUUAGAUACAAGCAGCUUCAUUCUGGCCGCAUUCUUUGCCUUUCAAUUUAUGUUCUUUUUUCUUACUAUUGAUGUGACAGUAGCUCCAGGCCCAACCACAAAUUAAGGUCAAAUUUAGGCACCGGUUUAAAAUAUUUAAUAAUUGUUUGAUAUGGAUAUUUCCUCGUGCCAUAGAAAGCUAUAACGUUUUGCUUUUGAAAAAACUUUAAUACUUAUUAUAUUUGGAGGAUUAGUAAUUUUUUGUUUUAAAGAAAAUAAUAUGUUAAUUUAGUUGAAAAUAUAAAGUGACCUGGUCAGGGUCUCGGAUAUCAACCAUUAAACUUUUGCUAUUUUGCACUAGGAAUAAUUGAUAGAAUAGUAUUUCAAUCUACAAAAUAAUUUAUUUUAUUUUAAAAAAUAAUUUAAAAAUAAAAUAUACUAUUCAAUUUAGACAUUUGAUUGCACAAUUGAUAAUUAAACCAUUGGUUUCCCACUUUUACCUGAUUUCUAUUUUAGUCCUCAAUUUUUAUCUUAUUGCCAUCACAUGCGUGACUUGUAGAAUUACCAGCAAUAUAAGUCACUGACUUUUUUGAUCUCCAGUCUCUUCUUCCAUUGUGGCGAGUCCAAUCCCAUCAUACUUUAAUGUUAUCUUAUUUCAUGUAUCUUCGGCCAGUUCGUUAUUGCAUCCGAUAUUUACUGUCUCUUUUGAAGCAUCUAGCGUUUUUAACUUUCAAAAAGAUUAUUAUUAUGGUGCUUUUGGUUUGUGCUAUCUUUUAAAGAUUCCUAAUAAUUUAAUAGAAAUAAAAAAAUAUGACGGCAUUUGGCUAAACGCACUAAGUAAUCUAGCUGGUAAUAUUGAAUUCACUUGGAAAUAAGAUUAACCCCAAAGUACUAAUCUCAUUCCUUUGAGAGUAUAUUAAUGGAUUGGGAUAAUCAUAAUAUGUCUAAUUUCUUUCUUUCUCCCUACCUGCCGGCUAAUUGAUAUUAUUUUUCUUUACACUCUAUCCUUAUAUCUCUCUCUAAACUUAUUUUUCUCUCUAAAAUUCAACUUUUUUUUUCUCUCUCUAAACUAAGCUUUCUCUCUCUCUCUUUCUAAAAUUUCAACUCUCUCACUCCCUCUAAUUUCGACUAUAUUUUUCUUUCUAUUUUUUUAAUUAUACUUUUUCUCUCUAACUUAUACUCUCUCUCUCCCUUUUUUCUAAAUAGAUGUUGAAACUUUUGGUAACAUUAUCUAAAAUUAAUUAAAUUAAUUAAUUAAUUAAUUGUAUAUUUUUUGUAAUAUUAAAUAACAUGGCUAAUUAACAUUACCGUGCGAACCAAACACAGGAAUUCCACAUUCUUAGUAAUAGAAUGAAUAGGAAUAAAAUUCUCGGAUAUCUUUUAUUCCUAGUAAUCUUUCAUAAUGCGAACCAAACGCAUUCGUUUAAAAAAUUUAAAAAAAUGGUAUUGAGCAGGCAAGAAUUUAAGUGCCGUGGCACGGGAGUCGUGCCGGAAACUUACCAGCACGGUACAGCACGGUGCGUGCCGAGCCGUGCCGAUGCGUGCCAGUCAAAAAAAUUUUUGUGUGCCAACACAUAAUAGUAUGAAAUAUUUAUUUUCUUAAGCAACAAAAUAUUCUAACUAUUUAUUAUGUCUUUUUAUCACAUUUUUUGAACUUUAUUGAGAAAAUUACUUAUUAAUUUAAAAAAUAUAGAGUUUUGAACUGUGCCAUCGGUACGGGAUCUAUAUCGUACCGGUAUCUUAUUGGCACGAUACAAUACAGUGGAUACAUCCCGUGCCGACGAGCACUUAAAACUUUAGAAGCAGGACAAAAGAUAAUUAAAUUAUAACUAUAAUUUAUUAUAAUUUAUUUAAAUAGAAAGGACUCUAUUGGAGUUGACGCAACCUAAAUGUGAAUCGUAGACGAUUGGAAGUUUGGAACCUAAUUAAAAUAAGAGGUUAAUUGCAUACAGCUCCUCGUAAAUAGAUCGAAUAGCAAAUAUAUUCAUAUACAGUUCAACUUUUCAUAUUUAUCUCUGUGAAAUUCUAACAUUUUCAAAUAUUAAAAUAUACCCCUAUUAUUAGGAUCAGUUAGAAAAAAAUAGUUAACCAUAGAUAAAAUACUUAGCCAUCAUUAGUUAAUAAGGUAAAAUUAACCUUUUUACCUUUUUUAUAUUAUUUGUGAAGGCAGAAAGAAAAAAGAUAAUCAAUGAAUUUUUUUAAAAAAGCAUUUCUGCAUAGUUUUAACAGUUAGGGCUUUUAAAGAUACAUAUUUAUGAUGACAAAAAUGUCAUUUCACUUACCAUUUGUUAAAAAUAAAUAGAAUUUUAACGGUAAUAAACCAAAAGAGCAAAUAUGAAUAUCACUGAACUUUUUCAGAAAUAAGUUCAGAGAUAAAUAUAAAAAGUUGAACUUCGUAAAACUAUAUUUGCUAUUCGAUAUGUUUACAUAGAGCCGCAUGAAAUUAACCCUAAAAUAAAGAUACAAAAGUUAGGAACCAAAAACUUAAAAAAAAAAAAAAAAAAAGGUCAGGGACUACUUAAAGAAGCAGGUAAAAGGUUAGGGAUCGAUGGUUCAACCAACCCUUUUUCUGUCCUGGGUCUUCUUUUUCUCGGGUAAUCUGAAGAAGCGAAAAGAGGAGGAGAUGAAGCUCUCACUUCUGCCGCCUCUAUUGAUCCUCUGCUCGGAUCUCAUCCUCCAGCCCACCCCUCCUCUCCUGACGGCACUUCCCUUGCCAACACCCACCGCCCACUCCUUUUCCCAAACUGGUAAUCCAGCCUUCUUUGAUUUCUUUGAUUUCGGCCAUUUUUCUUACUUGAAUUUCGGGUCCAUCAAAAAUUAACUGCCCUAUUAGCAAAAUCAACAGUAUCAAAUAUCAAUCGAAAAUUAAAAUAAAUAAAUAAACAAAUAAAGUUCGGAGCCCUGUAUCUUCAUGGCCGACGAUUGAGAAGUUACUCAAUACUUGUGCCACGUGUAAAUCUUAUAUCUCAUUCAUGUUAAAAAAAAAAAAAAAAAAAAAAAUCAAUAUUAGAAACUUAAAAGAACUGGAUGAACCUUGAAUGAGGGGAUAUAAAAUUCACAUCUCAGUUUGGGCUCUACAAGAUAGCAUUUCUCUACCGUAUUUUAUAGAAAUAACUACCUAUACAUUCUAUUACAACUCUAUUAUAGAAUAUAAAUCUUAUGCUCCAUCAUUUAAGGGUGGAUAAGACUUGAAUAAAUAUGAACUUUUGAUUUAAAUGAUGGAUGAGACUAGUGAGUAAAUAUGAACUUUUUGAUGGACUAAGAUAUAAAAUUGUAUACCUUAUUAUAUAAGUAGGAAAUGCAUGUAGCACUGCAUUGCUCAUCUAGAAAAAAACUUAAAACUUUCAGAUUUGUCAUAUGGACCAUGCAGGUAAUCUAAUCACUGUGAGCCGCACCCCGAAUAAAAUCUACCAUCCGUUGACGGGAUCCUGCGUCCUCCGGACGUCCUUAUCAGACCCACUGAAGCUCGGCGCUUGCGACCGAUCCGAUGCGUGGAAGUACACGCCUCAGAAGUUUUUGGUUGUAGGAGGUACAUACUUCUGCUUGCAAGCUGCAGCGUCCGGAGAGCCGGCAAGACUCAGUAUCAUCUGCUCUGAGUCUGAUUCCCAAUGGGACUUAACACCGAAUGCGAAGUCAUACGUAUCAACAAAGCUAGAGGAUGGGAGUGAUUUGUGCUUGGAUGUUGAUUCGGAGAACACGCUUGUAACCAAUCCGUGUUUGUACUAUCGCAGCGGCGACGCAAUGGAUUGCAACUCGGAUAGCCAACUGUUUGAGUUUGGCGGUCGAAGCUAGUCUUCAAUAGAUACCAUAGAGACAGAAUUCAAGCUUCGCUGCAGAGCUUCUCUUCUUCUAUGCUAUUGUAUGAAUGCUAGAAGUAUUGUUCACUGUGCUUUGCAUGACAAUAAUGAUAGGUUUGGAGUAAUGCAUUUGAGUGUUUAUGUAUCACACAGAAGCUUUCUUGUCCAAGAACUUAAUUGUCAUACAGAACAGACUUUGAAUUGUUGAAAUCAAUUAUCUUUGAGGGAUUAUGCAUUUAUCUUCUGGGGGUGUAAUGUCUGCUAAUUCAACUCUCAGAUUGAUAGUUAAAUAUUAUAGUUAUACGACGACAUAGAAACUAAAUCAACUGACAACAACUGACACCAUCAUUCAUUCGUGCGAAAUACCGGUAAAGUUUUGACAGAAUGACCCGAUCCGAACAAAAGUUGCAAUUCAAAGCUGCAUAGAAACAAAUUGAAGCUCCACGGCCUCACCAGAGCUGCUUCACCAAAAGUUACAGUGACCAAUGGUGUAAUUGAGCCUUCCAACAUUCAGUUACAGCAUAAUACGCGGGGCAGCAAAGGAGAUGGAAUGAGAAGAUUAAAAAUUAUAGUGAUUCACAAAAGACGACAUAAAUAUAGAAAUUAUAUCUAACAAUUCGAAAUUUCUAUAAACAAGCACACCCUUCUCAAAUAGCUAACCAAGAAAAAGUGCUCUUAAGCUGUGGAAUUCUUGGCAGAUGGAAAAUGGAGAAAAAAACAAUAAUAACAACUACUGAAUUAUUAAUUUACCUUCUAAUCAAGAGAUCAAUCAAAUUUUCUAUAUGAAUACAGGAAUACAGAGGGACAAACUAGAUGAGGGGUUCCGACAACUCCAUCUCAUUAGAGUUUUCUUGUAUGUCGGCUUGCUGGUAUCGUACAGAGUUGAGACCCAGCCAUUGCCACGGCCAGCAAAUGUACCUAUGACUGUUCCGGUUCGUUGUCUCGCCCCUGCUAUCAUAUUCUUCGAGCUGCCGAGUAAGUUCCUCCAACCUCUCACGCAGCCUCGCGGCUCUCAAAUCCGCCAAUCUUAAGGAUUUCUCAGCCGCAUCUCUUGCCGCCAUCGCCGCAGCUGCAGUUUCUUCCUUGAAUUUUAGUUUGUUUUCUAACUCUACCAUCGCUUGCCUAGUGUCUUCUAGUUCCUUCCGGAGAGCUGAUAUCUGCAUGAUGAAGAUAAUUUCCAUUGCACAUAUGAAGAUUCAGAUCAGAUUUUCUUUGAGGUCCCAAAUGUAAUGGAAUUUGAUAUUGAGGAUAGUUUAAUUUCAGGAUACGCAUUAUGACAGUUAUUUCCUUUAGAAUGACUGUUAUAAGAUAUUAUAAAGAAUUCCUGCUAAUUACUAUGACGGUAUUAUCACCAUAACCAGCAUUAUACGAGCCUUUUUAGCAUCAUAAACAAAAUGCUAAUGAUAUUAUUUAUAUUAUUAAACUUAUGUCACAAAGGCUUUAGAGAUAAUCUAUUACCAAAAAAAGCGAGAAUAUGAUAAGAACUCACUUCAGCAUUUGGAACAUACAGACCAAUCAUUAGAAUCAUCAAACGUUGAUGGCUUAAGUAAUAAUCAGGUCAUUACUAGGAACUGUUCGAGUACUUUGGUUGUUUGAGAUUCAAGAUAUAAGACAAAUGUGAUUGAUUAUUAGUCUAUACUACUCUACAGUUAGCAUAAACAAAUUCUAAAACAUAGAUGAUGAUCCAGUAGAUAGAGCACCUGUGUUUGAAGCUCCUGUUCAACUGCUCCACCAGCUGCAGCUUCUUGCUCUGCUGCUACUUUCCAUCUUGUGAUUUCUUCUUCAGCUGCUGCAAUAUCUGUCAUGAGGCCUUCAACCUUCAAAAUAUAAUAUCCACAGCAAAUAACUGAUUAGCAUGCCCAUAGAACACAAAAAGAGAAAUCCUCAAUAAGAGUAUCUCAAAAGGUUGCAUGUUGAUAAGUGAAAGCAACAUUACGUUUUCGUUCGCUACCCUCUCUUUCUCCUCAAGUUCCUUUAUGCGUUGCUUUUGCUGGCUAAUCUCUUUAGCUUGUGCAUCUAAACGAGCUUUAAAUGCACUAGACUCUGCCCUUAAUCCAGUAAAAGAAGUGUAAGAGAGAAAGCAAAUUAGGAUGAUUCAGACUAAUGAGGUAGAAAAGAUCAUGCAGAGGAAGUAGUACCCAUCUUAGAUAAUGUUAAAAAUUGCAUUUGAAAGGAUUAAUCAGGACUUUUUCAUUCAAAAGAAAAAUAAAAGAAGAAAAAGUCCAGGGAAAGAGUCCUCAUUUUCUUUCAGAAAAUAUCAAUAUUAGUUUUUCUAAACUAUCACUUCUAAUCAAAGAAGUAGAUCAUGUACGAAAUUACAAUUUAUAAGAAAGUUCCUACUUUCUGGAGAUACAGAUUUAUAAGUCAAAAUUUGAUAGCAUAUGUUAACUUUCCAGAGAGGAACAUAAACUUACCUGCUCUUUAUGCUAUCUUUUAUGUUUCUUCUGUAAGCUUCUACUCAUUUUUCAUUAUUUCGCUAACAAAUUAUCAAUUUUGAAACAGAACUGAUGAUUGAAGAAAUGCAUCCUCCGUAAAGAAAAGUGGUCACAAAGUGCAUAUGAAAUUAUGAAUAAUACAAGAGAGUAGUUUUCUAAAUUCUGACUUCUUAAGUCCUACAGAGAUUAUUUUCUACUAAUUGAAGAUCAGAAGCAGAAGUUCAGGAUUACCAGCGGGUUUUCCAACAUUGUAGUCACUAUAUCUACUUGGCCAAUAGCGGUUAACUGUAAAUAGAAAUGUUUCUGACUCUAGUUCUUAAAAAGAAUUAAAAAAAGAAAAACAAUUAUGCAAGACACGGUUUGUGAAGAGUAAAAUGGAACAAUUGAUGCAAAAUGUUUCCAAAGUUGUUUGGUAAAUCUUAAUCAAUUUGAGAGUUGUUCCAAAAUUAUGUUAUUGAGCUUCAAGACUACCUAAAAGUGUAUAGCAGGAUAGAAUAAGAUACUCGACAACUUUUGCAUACUAUCACUAAAAUUAAAUGAUAUUCUUGGACCUCUCUCCCGUAUAAAGGGAUGGGCAGAUUAUUUCCAUCACCAUUCCACAGGCUUAUGAGCUAUCUCCAUAUUGCAUCACAGCACAAGGUGCCAACCUACAAAUCAAAUACAUAGGUCUAUUCCUAUUUGGACUACAGCAGAAUACAAGCACCCGUCUAGCACGAGAACUUAUAAAAUCAAUUUGUGCAAGAUCAUGGUGAAGCUGCUCUAGGAAAAAUAAAGAACACAGCUGAGAAUGACAGAUAAAAUGGGAUCAUUUCUUGGACAGUAACAUAUUCGGAAUAUCAAGAGUCAAGAAAAACAGCAAGACACUGAUUCUGGCGUUAAAUUAUUUAAACUCCUAUCUUUUAAGCAAGGGCACAAAUUACUCGGAUGGUGUCAACAGAUAGAAUGCUAAUUACACAAAAUCAUUCCCUUCCCCUCCUGCCCUUCUUUCCGCAGCCACAAGCAGGAAAAGAAUUAACAAUUCCUAGUUAAUAAGAUUGACAUAGACGAGAAGUACCAACCAAGGCUGCAAGGAUCAGGUUAAAAUAUAAGCUAAUAUCGUCAUCGGAGCAAAAGGCCAACUAAAUUUAUCAAAAUAAGAAGGCAAAGGUACUUAAAAAGUAAUCCAAAGAAGCAUAUGCAUAAGGGUUUGUCAUUUUCAAUAUGGUGAUUGCUGUUACUGAAGAGAAUUAUCCACAAGAGAAUUAUCCACGCACUAAGUACCUGAGCGCCUCCACCAAAUGCUGUAGCUCAAUGAUCUUAAGUUGAGAUUCCUUUACGGUGUUCUCCAAAGCACCAGCCUGUGAGACAGAACACAUUGAAACUUCAUGUCAACAAUAGAGUGCACAUCAUGCAUGACUUUUAAUCAGAAGAAAAGAAUAAGCGCGUACCAACGUAUAGACUUCAUCCUCUUUAAACCCCUCGUCGUCUGCAACGUGCAACACUUUGUUCGGAUCGGACGAUAGAGAUCCUCUUAGCAAAGUGCUGAUAUGCUGUUUCUCUUCCAAAAGAGAAACUACCUUCUCAUUGAGAGAUACCGCCUCUCCAUUCAUUGCCUCUAUUCUUUCUCUUACUUUCUCUGCUGCCGCCUUCGACAGCUCGUAAACCGAAAUCAUCCCUUCCGACGAAGUCUUCAAAUCAUCACUCGUCUCAAUCUCCUUCCGCACGAACAGCAGGUCGGGCGGAUCCCUGCUCUCCGGCUCGUUCGAAUCCACGAUCCCGACAAUGUCAUUGAUUUGCUCGUAGACCUUGGAGAUGUAAUAGAGAUGAUCGACGAGCACCGUCCUCUGCAAGGCCGAUUUGGCCUCCAAGCUCUUCAGCUUGCCAUCGCAGUCCUCUCCGAGCUGCCUCAGCUCCGCGAUCUCGCCCGCCAUGUCGGAGAUCUUCGCGUCCCUGUCGGCGAGCGACCUCGUUAGCUUCUCGUUCUCGCCGCGCAGGCCGGCGAUGGUGGCUUCGAGCUGCGAGACCUCGAUGGCGAUCUCGUAGUUGCGCUGCUCGGCCUGCUCGCGGGCUUGGUCGCGGGACUUGGCGGCGGCGUCGACCUGGCGGAGGAGCUCCUCGACGAUCUCGUUGGUGCGCUUGACGACGCCGAAGGCGAGGGCGGGGAGGCCGGCGGCGUACUUGUGGGACUUGGGGAGGCCGUCGGGGGGGAAGGCGCGGAAGGCGGAGAUCUUGCCGGAGAUCUUGUCGAGGCCGGAGGCGAGCAUCUGGGAGGCGGUGGAGAUCUCGGACUCGAGGGCGUCGCCGCGGGCGGAGGCCUCGGCGAGCUUCGCGGCGGCGUCGUCGAGCUUCUUGGCGGCGUCGUCGGCGGAGCGGAGGGCGUCGUCGCGCUUCUUGAUGACGUCCUGGGCGAAGGCCUUGAGGCGGUGGAGGCGGGACUCGGAGUCGGCGCGGCCGUCCUCGGCGGCGCGGCGGGCGCGGCGCUCGGCCUCGAGCUCGGCGAGGAGGUCGCGGAUGCGCUGCUGCUGCUGCUGCUGCUGCUGCUGAUCAGAGGCUGCGGAGGAGGAGGUGGAGGAGGAAGAGGAGGCGGUGGUGAAGGAGGGAGGGGGGAGGAGGAGGGGGGCGGGGUCGUCGGCCUCCUCGACGUCGCUGAGGACGGCGGCGUCGUCGUCCUCGUCGGCCAUGGCGCGUCGCGGAGCGGAGGGGGACGCGGAGGAAGGUGGGAGGAAAGAAAGAGGGGGAUUGGUUUACUCACCAACCGGUCUUUAGUCGGUCUCGUAUUUAUUUAGGGAGAUGCUGCUUGUAAAUUUAAAAAGUGGUACACAAUUUACUUUGUUUUUCAUCCAAAAAUUUAUAAAAUUUUAUGUAAAUUUUAAUAUUUAUUAAAAAAAAUUGACCCUUGCUUGGAUAUAUAUACCAGUAGCACAGCAUUUUUUUUUUUUUGAAAAAAAUUGGGUGAGAAAUGCAUGGAGGUUUUGAAAUCGCCUCAACAUUUUAUUUUAAUUGAAUAUCGAGAAGCGUCCAUCAAAAUUCAAAAACUUCACAGUUGAGGGGGGGCCAUUUCACAAGCGACCAUAUUUGACGGCGACAUCAAAUGCAGAGGAGUAUAGCCGUAUAGGGCACGGACGGUCGGAGUACACUUGAUUUAAUGGUUACUAUACUAUAUAUUGCGGGGUCAAUUAGAGGGGUGGCCUAAGAUUAAAAAGGAUUGGUUUAUUUUUCUUUUCUGUCUUUUGGGAGAAACCAUAUAUUUUAAGUUGCAAAUUCAAAAUUACUUUGGCUAGUUUAUAUAAUACUAUGCUAAAUUAUAUGCCUACAUUUGCUUAAUUAGACAAUAGUGUACCAAAUCAAUAUGAUUAUUUGCUGAAUUUAAAUCAUUUUAAAGUAAAUAUUGAUUAAAAUUAAAAUUAGUUUGAUACUAACCUUGUACUCGACUAUAUAUGGAUCAUCAUGGACUGUAGAAUACUGCUCAACUAUACCCAGCCAUAAUAAUACCAUAUAUAAGCAAGCUACCAGCGAGGCAGCAACCAUCUACCAUAGAGAGCAUUACAAGAAAUUUAUUUAAAUUUAUUUAUAGCUUCAUUUACAUUGCACUCCAUCUAAAAGAUAAUACAAAUAUGGAAUUCUUUCUCAUAGUAGAUCCUCUCUCUACCACGGUGAAAAGCUUCAUAUCUAUAGUAGCGUUCCAUGAAAAGAAUUUCUCUACAAAUUGCUAAUCAAAGCAAAUGAUGAGAGCGAAAAAUGUUUACUCGCUUAAGAAUUGAAAAUCAUCUCGGUACUGGCCAUUCUAUCCGACCCAAUGAGUGAUAGACGGUCAUGAUAGACGUCUACGUGGCCAAACGCAUUUGAGCCUGGAGGGCACUCCAAAGCAGCCUCAAGAACACGAUGAUGAACGCCACGGGAAUCGAUUGCAUACCCGCCUUUAUGGUCGUGCCCGGCAAAGCAGACCUUUACGCAGUUGUGCCGGUGAACCACCGCCAUGACCUCUUCAUAGUUCCACAAAAGAGCCUCAGGGGCUGCCGCUUCGGGGUUUAAAGGGAGGUGGCAACAUAUGAUUACAUUUUGUUUACUCUUCUCACUUUCUUGAAGGAUGCUUUCAAGCCAAUCCAGUUGUUCUUUACCGAUUGCUCCAUUGAACAUUAGAUAUCUUCUCGCAACGCCAACCAAACCAUUCGGACUAUUCUUAUCAGCAUUCGGAUUCUUUUCCUGCAAGAACUUCAUUGCUGCUGAUGCAAUUGGGUGAUCCUGCGGCCAACCGAGGGCACUAAAGUCAUAGGCAUCAAGAACGAUGAUCCUAUAUUCAGGAGUCGGCGAGAAGUCAUAAUAUGCAUGGCCAUCAGAAGAGGGCAUCUUGAAUAGUGAGAUUAGUUUGCUGCGAGGAAGGUUGUAAAGGCAAUGGUUCCCGAUCAUGUGAUAGAUGGGACCAUUGAAUUUCUCGAAUUCAUGAAGAACUUUCUGUACUGACGCCAGCGACUUAUCUUUGGGGCAGAACCCGUCAACAAUGUCCCCAAAGUUUAUUGAGAAUUUGAGCUUCUUGUGAUCAUUCCAUUGAUUGACUGCCCUUUGAAGAACCAGAAUGCUGUGGCGGUAGAAUCUGGGGACACCUAGAAACGAGUGGCCAUCAGGAAUAUCGGCAUACUGGACAUCGGCAAUAACUCCAAAAGAGAAUAAUGGCUCCUUAGUAUGAGCAGUGGCUAACCCAUUAGCUGAUGCCAUCAUGGUUAGUGUGGUGAACAACAGAUUUCAAAAUUCUCGUUCCCUGCAAAGUAUUUGUUUGUUUGAGAUAAAUAGUUUUCGCAUGAAAAGAAAGGGCUCAAUUCAACAAACAAGUUGUGACGAGCAAAGUUACCUGCUGAAACCACAAAAAGGGAAAACUUCAGAAAUCCCCCCCGUGGUAUCGACUAAUUACAAAAAGAAGAAAAAGAAGAAGAAGAGAAGAAGCGAGAAAAAGAGAGAGCCAAAUCUUUUAAAAAAGAUACUACAAAGUGCUUGCUAACAUGUAAAACUCGCUUUGAAGCAAAGCAAUAGAAUAACAUGUGCCAGAAACUAACCAAGCCAUGAUGCAAGCCAUCAUUCUCAUUUUCUUAUGAUCAAGUAGUACAUAAUUAUUACAUCUAAGAUGAAAUCUGUCACCCAAUGUGGAUGAUAAGCAUCUUCUAUCCACACAAACCAUUUUCAUACUGCUUUUUUAUUUCAUGUUAACAUUAAGUUGACAUUUGGGAAUUUCACUUAUAUGUUUAUAUGAAUGCUAUAUAGCAACAUACACAGAUUAUCUGCUGCAAUUUUCUCUAGAGUACAAUAAUAUUAUUUAUUCUUAUAAAUAAUUAGAAAGGAUGUGUACAUUUGACCAUCCACAUCUGCGGUAAUAGGAGAUGCUAGGCUGCCAUUAAUUUGUAGUAUACAACUUGAUUUAAACUUGCAAACAUUAGUUCAAUCGUCGAGUCGAAACAACUAGGUUCUGAGUCAACUCCUGUUUGAAAGCUAGGUCCGAUUUACACAAUAUAGACCUAUACCCCAAACCAAGGCCUCAAUACAAUAACAUUUAAAGACCACUGUGAAACCAAAGAUGUUGUUCGCAGGAUCUCUCACUAAAUUAUAAGCUGGCGAGAGUGGAAGAUUAACAACCAAGGUUAGUAUAUAUGUUUACCCACAUGGUAUAAAACAUGGCAUCAGUUGCAAUUCCCAUACUUUUAAGUGCUAUAGAUCAAGAAUUUAAGUGCCGUAGCACGGGGUCGUGCUGGAAACUUGUCGGCACGGUAUAGCACGGUGCAUGCCGAGCCGUGCCGGUCAAAAAAAUUCUUGUAUGCCGACACAUAAUAGUAUGAAAUAUUUAUUUUUUUUAAAAACAAAAUAUUCUAUUUAUUUAUUAUGUCUUUUUAUCACAUCUUUUGAACUUUAUUGAGGAAAUUACUUACUAUUUUAAAAAAUAGAGGGUUUUGAGCUGUGCCAUCGGAACGGGUUCUGUACCGUACCAAUAUCUUGUUGGCACGGUACGGGCACGGUGGAUACGGCCCAUGCCGACGGAUACUUAAAACCUUGCUAUAGAUUAGAUAAAAUAGCUGGUGGUUUCAGUUUGUUAAUGCAUACUAACUUUGACGUUUAGUCAAGAUAUAUAUAAAACCUAAUAAAUAAAAAGUCUAUUAUCAAUUGAAAUGGAGUGUGCAAAUAGGGUUAGAUAAGCCAAACACAAGCAACGUUGGCCAUGAGCUCAAAACUCCGUAUCAAAUUCCAAGAAAACUCAAAGCUGCUUACUUGUAUUUCCUGUUUGUGAUUAGCCAAAUACUUUGCACCUCUUCUCACAGCUGAAUUGAAAUUGAACAUCUACAUACAUUUCCAAUCCUAGAUGAUACAUCUUAUACAUAUGCACGCGUGCAUAUAAGUAUUAUGUAUGUACGCAUAUUGAAUAUGACCUAAGGGUUUUCUCUUCAUGUAAUAUUAACCCACACAACACAAAGCCACCCCCUAAAUCUUACUUAUACUCUGAAAUGUUGGUAGAGAACAUUUCGGAGGCAACUAAAUGAUCCACUUUGCAUAUUUGCCUCCUUAGUGCGUAACAUAAUGAUAAUCAAACAUUAUAAGAAACCGAAGUUACGCAAACACGGACACUGCUGCGGCCGCAGAACACAACACGAUUCCGAUACGGCCGACUCGGCAGCUCAGAAAAAAUAGACACACAGGAGAGACACAGCAAAUAAGAUAGUACGCAAGCAAUCAAUUUACGAGUCUCGGCGAUUGCAUUGAACAGAAGCUAGUGAAAAUAUUAGCAAUAAUGCAGUGUCAACGCCAUGAAAGCAUUCAAUUAAAAGCUAGAGCUUCAAAUAAAAAUUAGAGAAUAAUCGAAACAAGAAUUAUAUACUCUUAAGCAAUUUAGAGAAUGCUUCAAACAAAACUCAAAAAAGUUCAAGCAUAAACCUUUCAAACCCUAAAUUAAAGCAAUAGAAGAUUGUAUACCCCAAUAUGAGGACGUCGCGGCACGGUGAAAUCCAAAAAUCAAUUGAAAUCCUACAUGAAAAAGGAGAGAAAAAAAAAAAAAAAAAGGAAUGAGAAUCUCAAACCCUAAUAAUUCUAGAUUUUAAGAUCGGAUUGGGGGAAAAGAGAUUUCACCGGAAAGCAGUAGCGAGAUUCGCACGAGACGCGACUCAUUUUACGCAGCUCGAAUAUUACGGAUUGGCCGAUUCGUACGAUUUUUCGGCGUUUCGCGGCCGCGCUUGCAAAAGCGCUUUCCCAAGAAGCCGUUUCCGCCGACGAACCCUCUCUGCACCCGACCCGAUUAAAACGGUGCCCUUCGGGUUCGGGUCGAGCCCCACCAACCCCACCGGUUCAACAAGCAUAUUCGUUGCUCCCAUAUUCCUUAUUCCAUAAAUAUAAUAAUUAAUAAUUAAUAAAUAGAAAAGAGAAUGGUGAAAAUGCAUACACGACCCCUCAACUACAGAGAAUUUUAGAUUGGUUCCUCAAUAUUAUAACUUUUUUUGAACUUUUUAAGUUAUUCUGUUUAUUUAGUUAAAAAUUUUAUUUUAUUUAAUAACAUUAUUGAUCAUUAAUCACUAAUUAUUAUAAAAUUUUGAUAAAAUAAUUAAAAAUAAUAAUAAAAUUUGAUAAAAUUAUCUAAUUUAUUUGGUUAAAACUAUUUAAUUGUAAAAAAAUUUAAAAUUGAGAAAAAAAUUAACAAUAAACUUU